Molecule: ribosomal RNA, 497 nt
Filed under: uncultured bacterium
Lineage: Bacteria
Description: partial 16S ribosomal RNA
Rfam family: Bacterial small subunit ribosomal RNA
Source: RNAcentral
GAUGAACGCUGGCGGCGUGCCUAAUACAUGCAAGUCGAGCGAACAGAUAAGGAGCUUGCUCCUUUGACGUUAGCGGCGGACGGGUGAGUAACACGUGGAUAACCUACCUAUAAGACUGGGAUAACUUCGGGAAACCGGAGCUAAUACCGGAUAACAUAUUGAACCGCAUGGUUCAAUAGUGAAAGGCGGCUUUGCUGUCACUUAUAGAUGGAUCCGCGCCGUAUUAGCUAGUUGGUAAGGUAACGGCUUACCAAGGCAACGAUACGUAGCCGACCUGAGAGGGUGAUCGGCCACACUGGAACUGAGACACGGUCCAGACUCCUACGGGAAGCAGCAGUAGGGAAUCUUCCGCAAUGGGCGAAAGCCUGACGGAGCAACGCCGCGUGAGUGAUGAAGGUCUUCGGAUCGUAAAACUCUGUUAUCAGGGAAGAACAAAUGUGUAAGUAACUGUGCACAUCUUGACGGUACCUGAUCAGAAAGCCACGGCUAACUACGUG